Molecule: ribosomal RNA, 103 nt
Filed under: uncultured eukaryote
Lineage: Eukaryota
Description: partial small subunit ribosomal RNA
Source: RNAcentral
UCGCUCCUACCGGUUUCGAGUGGUCCGGUGAAUCUUUCGGAGAGUAGCGUACCUUGAGUGUGCUGCUCGAAGUCAGAUAAAUCGUAACACUUAGAGGAAGGAG